Long non-coding RNA from Capra hircus (goat), 3927 nucleotides. The record is from Ensembl. NCBI's taxonomy places the organism in Eukaryota, Metazoa, Chordata, Mammalia, Artiodactyla, Bovidae.
GAAGUUGUGCAGAGUUGCGUAGCAGGUGUUUCCACUUCGCGCAGGGGCUUAGUGGGCAAAGCCGGGUCCUGCCCGGACCCUGGACCCAUGGAAGGUGCACACCUUCCAGGGACAGCCCUGUUUGCCCUCGACUCUUCUUGCUUCGCGCUCGUCCCCAGCCAGCCCAGCGCGCCCGGAGGCCGCAGCUCGCCCGGCUCGGCCCGCCGUCCUCCCUGGAGGCUCCACCUGCCGCUCCCUAGGCCGGGCCCAUCUGGAGUUCCCUGCGGAACCAGAGACGGUCCUCCUUCGCCUUGUCAAUCACCCCUGAAUCUGGAACGCUGAAGGAAUAGAAAAUAGGCGGAAAAGAAGAUGGAAGAAUCUAGAGGAAAGGGGACUUUUAUAUGGGGAAAGAGCAAACAGCCGACCAAAAAAAAAAAAAAAAAAAAAACCCACAUGAUUUGACUUCAUCCUUUUCAAAGGAAAAGAAAGAAAAAUAGAGACGUUUCCGGGAGUGGGACGAUACGUGUUGAUUGAUGUGGGGGUUAUACAAGGAGGCUAAAAUGAGGAAAUGGGGGCAGAUAGUUUGCAAUGUGACAAUCAACACCCCCCCACCUCUGAAUCAAGAGGGACCUUGUUUUCUUUCCCAGAGAAUAGACAAGUGCAGGAGCUGGUGCCAGCCACGGGGUUUCAGCCUGUAGGCUAGUUCGGGGAAAACAUCCCCUAACUCGCUUCAAGGAGAACACCAAGUUCACGAGCUCCAAGCCAAGGAGUGACCCGGGGACACUCCUUCCCCUGACCAGGGGGUGGCAGGGCGGGAGAGCCCUGUGACCUGGCGACCAUCUCUGAGGCUGAACCCGGUCCCGGGCUCCCUGCUCUCUCCACGCACCUCGCCAGCUCCUUCCAACUUGCAGGGAACAAAGUCCGGGGAGAGGCAGGUGGGGGCGGCCUGGCCAAGGAGCUCCCCAUCACUCCCCGAGGUCGUGGGUGGGGGGCUGCGCGGCCCAGCGGCAUGCAGGUCCGCCCGUGGCACCCAAACCCCGAGAGAGCCAGAACUUGCCGGGCUGCCUGGGCCCGGCCCACUUUCCCAGGCGCUCUGGGGUCCGGGGAGAAAGUCCCGGAACCACCCGGGCCACCAGUACCCGCUGCUCCGGCAUCUCGGAGGAGGCAUCGCCGCCAGGCACCACGCAGCUUCACCAACUCGGGGUGGCUCCUUUCUCCCCAACAGCCCCCGGCGGGUGCCGAGAAAAAGAGGCAUUUCGUUUCAGCCCGAGUGAGGGGGAAGGAGGGCGGAGGUGGGGCGCGGGAGAUGAGGGUGGGCAGAGGGCGAUGCAAGCUGCCUGCCGGCAUCGCGAUCGCGGGGCGUCGCGGUGGAGAGCCACCGGCGGAGGCCGGCCCCUCGGCACGCUACCCGCCUCCGAACCGACCCCGGGCUCGCAAGCCGGGCCUCGGAGGGUUCGCACAUCGCCCGGGCACCCGGCGAGCCCGCCUUACCUUGGGCUGCAGUGAGGAACCCCGCGCACAGCGCCAGCAGCGCCAGAAGCAGCGACUCGAAUUUCCCCCACGCAGUCAUGUCUGCAGAUAUUCCACACGCGCACGACAGCGAUGGCCCUUCUCGGACGCGCCCGGCUCCUCCGAGGCACAGCAGGGCUACGGACGGAGCCAGAGAACCACCCGAGGGCGAGGCGAGCUGGGGCGAGAUCCCGGUCUCCGGACCGGCCGCGCAUCCGACGCUUCCCGCAGAGAAAGCCACAGUCCCUUGGUCUCUUAUCUCAUCUGAGGUUCCCUGCCUGGGUUCUGAAAGCCCCUCCAGAGCACUCUCGCAUCCAUCAGGUAAUCAGGCUAUAGAUGAAGCCUAUUCUUAGGUUCCUAGAGGCUUUUUCCCCUUGUGAUUUUUAAAUGACUGUGAAAGUCUUGAUUUGUAUCUAACUCAAAUGCCAGAUAUUUAGAGCCAUAUUAACCAAAUGGGAUUAAAGGGAGUGAGUUACCCUAGGGAAUUCACACCAGACAGCUUUGUGACCACAUGUCUGUGUUGGCCUGCGGGGCCAGGAGCACUUGGGCACUGAAUUUUUACAAUUUGCUUAUUUUUUUCCCUCCAUUUUCCAUCUAGGCAUACUGCUCUCCAUGGCCUCGGGACUCAGGCUGAGCAGCAUCAGAAACAUCAGUGGCACCAGGGAUGAGAGCUGAGCAGAGGAAUCAAUAAAGGCAAAGAGGGUCUGACGUACUGGGAUUGAUAAAGACACCCCUAACCUUGUGUAAUGACUCAGGUGAAGAGUGGACAACACAGACAUCUGGAAAGUGCUGUAACUGAAGAGGGAGAAUGUUUUUCUUUUGUUUCUUCUUCAGGUGAACCAUGCCUGAGAAGGGGACAGAAUAUAUGAAUAGGGUACUUGAGACAAAAUUAUAAAUGAAAAGCUUUGCUCACGUGAGAAUGCUAAUUAGCCAGAAAUACAUGUGUUGCGUGGAUGGAUGUCUCUGAGAGUGCGGUGCGUUGCUGUGAUUGCUAAAUGGGACAUCUUUUGACUCUGUUAAUGGCAUGUACCAAAACCUGAUGAUGACCAGGGUACUGGGAGAACCUCUCUCCUUCACAGAGGGGUGGGGAUGGCAUCACAUGAUUCUGGUUUCCCUAAAGGCAAUGCCCAUCUUAGGAGAGCAAGAAGGAUGGGAGGGAGACGGGUGAAGGGAAAGAAAGGAGUAAAAUGAUCACUUCCUGUUUGCACAACUCUUUAUGCUGAAUCUUGUUUCUAUCAUAAGAUUAUCACUGCCCGCCUCCCCACCCAAUGAUGAGCAAGCAAAGCUUUAAGAAAUGAAGUCAUUUGUAGGAGGUCAUAUCUCACUCAGGACCGGAUGAUAUUAUCAAGGCUGUUGCUGUUUUGCUUUGCCAUAUCAACAUUUAAAACCCUCCUCGCUGCCCCUCCCUCACGAAGGAGCUUACACUUCCCUUCCUGGUCUCCACGCUCCCGGUACCUCUGCGCUGGUUUAUGAAGAAACUGAGCCAGGCAUGUAGAAAGCACUCCUCCCAGAAACACCAGAACACAGUCUUGCUGGGAGCCUCCUCCAGGACAGACCAUUUGCACUGAAAGAAGAUUCUGUGACCCUGUGUGACUGUUUAUUCGUGUAAGUUUUAAUUUUUUAAACUAUUCUCAUUGGCUGGCUUAAAAUAAGCUGAGCACGUUCCCCUGUUUUUCUAAUAAAAUAAUACCUUUAACUAUGUGUAUAUGUGUGUGUGUGUGUACACUAAUAUACAUAUACACACAUAUACAUACACACAUGGGGAAUACUUCCCCUUUUGUUAAUGACUUAGAAGAGUGGCAUUAGGAUGUAGGAAAUUAAAAAGUGUCAAGUAAGUCUAAGUCUAGAGAUGAACCAUGCUGUAAAUGAUCCAUUGGGAAAGGAGAGAAUUAGACCCUGUCUCCUUUCACUAGCGGGAAGCUGAAUAAAAGGAUGCAGACUGAGGGGUUCGUCGUGCGUGGGAAUGCAGUGGAAGACCUGUUGGGGUGAAGACCCCCAGCCCCAGAGUUUCUGAUUCAGCCUAUCCAGGAUGGGGCCCAAGAAUUGCCUUUCCACCAGGUCUCCAGAUGAUGCAUGCAUGCCGGGACUGUUCUCUGAGAACAGCACAGCAAACAGGGUGGACUUUGAGUUAAAAUAGUGGCUUUGUAUCCUGUAUCUGACUUUCUGAGCAGGGGAUCUCUUUUUUAAAAAAAAGAAAGAAAAAAAAACCACUUAAUUUGCAUAUGUUUGCUUCUCAGAAAAUAUGUAAAAUGCUAUUUACCCAAUAGACUUGGAGAAAGCAACAAUAUAAGCACAGUGGCUGAUGUAUACAAAAUGCUUAAAAAUAUCAUUUCCUCUUCUCUCCCUUCAGUCCCUGAAGGAGGAGAGAAGGCACCCAGAUGGAGAAAGGCUCUCCAUCUGUUCGGAUCCGUAUUUUAGGAGUGGCAAGCUGGAUUUGGG